GACGAACGCUGGCGGCGUGCUUAACACAUGCAAGUCGAACGGAAAGGCCCUGCUCUUGUGGGGUGCUCGAGUGGCGAACGGGUGAGUAACACGUGAGUAACCUGCCCUUGACUUUGGGAUAACUUCAGGAAACUGGGGCUAAUAUCGGAUAGGAGCUCCUGCUGCAUGGUGGGGGUUGGAAAGUUUCGGCGGUUGGGGAUGGAAUGGCGGCUUAUCGGCUUGUUGGUGGGGUAGUGGCUUACCAAGGCUUUGACGGGUAGCCGGCCUGAGAGGGUGACCAGGCACAUGGGGCCUAAGAUACGGCCCAGACGCGUACGGGAGGCAGCAGUCGGAAAUCUGGCGGAAUGGGCGGGAGCCAGAUGCAGAGGCGCUGCGUGCGGGAUGCCGUGCUACUGGUUGUAAACCGCUGUCGACUGAGACGUAGCGGGAGUGACGGUAAUGGGUAAAGAAGCACCGGCUAACUACGUG
This 468-nucleotide ribosomal RNA is filed under the name uncultured bacterium. RNAcentral describes it as "partial 16S ribosomal RNA". It matches the Rfam family "Bacterial small subunit ribosomal RNA", at positions 28 to 507 of the family's 1533-position model. The record is from RNAcentral.